RNAcentral lists this long non-coding RNA (243 nucleotides) under Theobroma cacao (cacao). RNAcentral's name for it is "long non-coding RNA (TCAC_LNC000474)". Lineage: Eukaryota; Viridiplantae; Streptophyta; Magnoliopsida; Malvales; Malvaceae. The record is from RNAcentral.
AAAUAUUCUAUUUUCUUAUAAAACAAUAUUUAUAGAGUUAUACGUGAAUAAUUUUUAUAACGUAAAAGCUAAAUAAAUUUAUACAUACUGAAAUACAGUAAGCCAAAAUAUUUAAUUUAAUUUACAAUAACAAGAGGGCCCCCGAAUAAACAAAAGUAAAGAGGACUGUGAACUUACGGUUUGGAAAAUGCAGAUCCAAUGGUAGUCCUCGAUGAGAUCAGCUAUCUAUAGUCUAUACUGAAC